UUCUGUCACAGCUUUCGAGUCUUGAGGCUUAAUCACCCUGCUGUUCUGCCUUUUCUCUAUUUCAUGAAAGAAAGGGUAGAGAAGACACGUGUGUAUUUCACACAGACUUCUUUGGUUCCUUUUGACGAUUUCUGCGUGCCUCUUCCCUGAUUCCUCCUUGUGUUUGCUGCUAACAGCCUGCCCAUGUGAAAUGCUUCAGAACCCUGCCCUUGGGCUCACGGAGUCAUGUUGCCUACACCUGGGAAUUUGGAUGGCCCUUAGCAAGUGACUUACUCUGUGGGAGCACAAAAACCCAGCUCCCUUGGCUGGGGUCAGGACGAACACAUCCUCAUGCUAUGCACAUAUAACCAAAUCAAGGCACCAGUAUUUACUGUGGAAUUCAAGAGGAAAAGCUCAGUCUCUGUGGGAAUGGCUUAGAAACAGUGGUUCAUAAAAGCCCUGGACUCAGCCAGAGCAGGGUAGAAGAUGGCCAGAGGACAAAGAAGGCAGAGAGAUGGCAGGAGGAUCAGCUGCAGAGAGGAGUACCCUUUAUGCUGAGAGCUGCAGAGAUGACCUGCCAGCAGAGAGAAGCUAUCCUCUCCCACUGAGAGCUUCAGAGACCUGCAGAAAUGUCCAAACGACCUGCCUGCAGAGAGGAGCUAUCCUCUCCAGAGCCUCCUCUCUGCUAUGAGCUGAAUAUUCCAUAGGAUGACCUGCCUACACUGAGGAGCUACCCACUCCUCUGAGCUGUUCUAACACUAAAUAAAACUCUUCUUCACCCUUCACUUGUCUGCAUACCUCAUUCUUCCUGGAUGCAGGACAAGGACGUGGGCAAAGGUGCCAUGACCACAAAGGUUUCCAGCCAGGAAAAUCAACACCCCAGAUAUCCUGUAACAAUAGCUCUCUGCAGUCUUGACCUUU
This 900-nucleotide long non-coding RNA is filed under the name Homo sapiens (human). RNAcentral's name for it is "HSALNT0407352". Lineage: Eukaryota; Metazoa; Chordata; Mammalia; Primates; Hominidae. The record is from RNAcentral.